Xiphophorus hellerii (green swordtail) is the source of this 1120-nucleotide long non-coding RNA. RefSeq lists it as uncharacterized. NCBI's taxonomy places the organism in Eukaryota, Metazoa, Chordata, Actinopteri, Cyprinodontiformes, Poeciliidae. The record is from RefSeq and is a predicted model, not a curated record. The transcript is spliced from 2 exons.
AUGUAACCCAUGUUAAUUUAACAAAUAUGAAUUAUAGCCUGUAGUACACUACAUUGUCGAUAGGUGGCAGUAAAUGGUUUCAAGUAGUCUAAAACUACAUUGAUAUGCGGCAGAAUAUGGACUAGAAUAACCAGAAGAAGAAACUGGAAGAAACGUUUUGUGGUCAUUUUAUUGACAAAACUCUGUGUUAUUUUCAAUAUUUUUCAAGAGCUAGUUUUCAUCUAUGGUUGAUUUUUCGAUUCUUGUGUAACCGGACCCGGGAGAACUUUGUUUUUGAUAUUACAUUUAUUUGUUUUUUGAUGCGAAUCUCCGGUGAGUUCUGUGCUAUAAUUUUCUUCGUUAGCUAUCGAUUAGCCACAAGCUAAUAUUUUGCUGUUAUGUAUUAAAAGUUAUAUUGUGAUUUCAUUUUAUAGUUCAAUGUUGAAAGGAAAAAAAACAAUCGGAGAUACUUGUUUAUGAUUAAGAAUGUAUGUUUUGUAUGAAAAUUAGCAAUGCUUACGGCUAACUCUGAAAGGCUAUUCUGCUAAUAUUGCGCCUUUUUUUUCUUCUUGGAAUACUGAUACUGAUGAGGUAUCUAGUGACAGUGAGUUAUUUAUUCCACUGUACGGAAUUGAAGAAUGCUAGAAAAAGAUAUGUCAAUUCAGUGAAUAUUAUGUUGUGAUGUUUUGUUGAGCUAAAAGACAAAAUUGGUUAUCGCAGCUGUAAAUUAUUUUAUUUACAUGGAGUGAAAGAUAAACUUUCACUGAAAUGACUUAGAAUGGUGUAUCACAAAAUAGUAAAAUACAUUUCUGCUAUAUGCAGGUUGUUUUUUUUGUGUUGAGAGACAUCGUGUGAAGAACGGCGAGCCAGGAUCCAAAAGAGCAGAUUGAGAUUGUGUCCACUACGACGUCAAAGAAGAACCUUCUUCUGUUCCACUUGAUCGGUGGGAUUGCACAUAUUAACACUACCCGGGUAGCUACCAUAUAACAUUCAGAUCUGAAAACUGAAUUGAACUGAAAAAAAAGAAAGGAAAAACUUUUGAACUUGACUGACUUGACUUAGGACUACCAAAAGGAAACAUUGACUAUUUUGUUCUGUUUCAUUAUUGUCAAAAUGUGUAAUAAAUGUGUUUUGUUCAACA